GUAUAAUGAUUCUCAAACUUCCAACGAAGCGGUCACUUUUUAGAAGUGUAUUUCGUCUAGGAAAAUUUGUUUAUCAAUAAUUUAUACCAAAUAAUUUCUCUACCUAUGACAUCUGAAAUCAAGCAAGAUUACCCGCUGAACUUAAGCAUAUCAGUAAGCGGAGGAAAAGAAACUAACAAGGAUUGCCUCAGUAACGGCGAGUGAACAGGCAAAAGCUCAAAUUGUAAAUCUAUGGUUUCCGAUCAUAGAAUUGUAAUCUAAAGAUUUUCGCAGAAGGAUAGGUUUUCGCAUAACGCCCUGAAAAGGGUGGUCAUAGAGGGUGAUAACCCCGUAGUUGGCGAAAAACCUACCGUAUGCGGGGAUUCGAAGAGUCGGGUUGUUUGGGACUGCAGCCCUAAUUGGGAGAUAAACUUCUUCUAAGGCUAAAUAUUGAUGUGAGACCGAUAGCAAACAAGUACUGCGAAGGAAAG
Molecule: ribosomal RNA, 470 nt
Filed under: uncultured eukaryote
Lineage: Eukaryota
Description: eukaryotic LSU rRNA
Rfam family: Eukaryotic large subunit ribosomal RNA (bases 109-470)
Source: RNAcentral